UAGAGAAAAGCAAGAAUAAAGUUUUAUUUCUGAAAAAUUCUAGUAAGAGAAUUGUAAAACAGCUCAAAAUCUUACAAGUUCAUACUGAAAAAUCCAUCUAGAAAUGUCAAAAGUCUGUCACUGUUAAUCAGCUGCCAUUUUGAUUCAAGCUGAUUAAAAAGAAGUGAUAUCCAUUUGGAACUGAAACAUCUAACCAAUCCAAUCUGAAAAAAUGAAACACAGAAGCACAUUUUAUCAGGGGUGCCCUGCAGCAGGGUAUACUCUUGAAUUUUUCAUGUUUUAAGCCAACAGAAAAAUGUUUUUGCAGACACCUUGGAGCACAGUACAUACUAAAAGAAAUGAAGUAAGGUACUGUUAGUUCUUCAUCGAUAUUUCAUGUCUGCUUGUAAUUAAUUUCAUGACUCUCUCUAGUGGCAGCAAAUUGCGCUACUGCUUGGUAUUAACUGUCAAUUUUGCUUUGGAAAUGGUUUUAUUUACAGGUAACUAGAAAACAAAUUUGGUUGUGCCUUAUGUUCCAGCAACACACAUGAAAGUUAAUUAUAAGAAGAAAAAAACAAAGCUUGUGAAACAGUUCUGUGCUGUGGACCAAGGGAGGGCCACUGAAAAACCCAUUUUCCAGCAAAUUGUGAUCCAUUAACAAAACAGAACUGCAAAACUGAGAUAGCAUCUGUCACCACUAAUAAAUUAGAAACUUAAAUUGAGAGAUAAUUCAGGAAUGAUGACAACAAAUGACCACAAGUUGCUCAACCAAAGUCAGAAAAGUGGCAAGCAUGAUUCCAGGAAAUUAAGAGCUACCUUUGGCAGGCUGUUUCAAGAAGCACAGACAGGGCAUGCCAGAGACCAAGGCUAAGGUACCUUUUCUGACACUCUUCUGUUGCAAUCAAGAACAAUUUGCCUCUUCCUAUACUUCAUUCUUGACCUUGUGUAUUUAGACUUUAUAUGGUCUUGACCUAAAAGAAGUUUUUAUAAUCAGUACAUGGUCUGAGCCCUGUUGCCAUUAUAUUGAUGGACUUUCCUGUUUGAGCUAUCUGAGUGCUGUUUUGUGGAGCAUGGGGUGGCAAGAAAAGCCUUCAUUAUUUUGGUCUAUAUAGUCAACUAGAUUUUAUAAAGUAGCAUUAACGUUCACUAUGUUUUAAAACCUCAGAACUAUUAGGAUUGUUCUGUUAAGACAGAAGUAGUACAAAAUGUGUUAAUCCUGUUUGGUCUGACCCAUCUGGAAGGCACCAGUCUGCUAUAACUAUCCUGUUAAUCUUGCUGUAGAUCUAAUUUUUACA
RNAcentral lists this long non-coding RNA (1274 nucleotides) under Pavo cristatus (Indian peafowl). RNAcentral describes it as "lncRNA (ENSPSTG00000017459.1)". The record is from RNAcentral. Lineage: Eukaryota; Metazoa; Chordata; Aves; Galliformes; Phasianidae.